UGUGUGUGUGUGCAUGUGCAUUCCCACCUCAUGCCCAAUGUUCUCAGGAUAGGGCAGGAUAGGGUUCUCAGGUGAACUUACUAUAGAACUUGAAUGUUUUCCACCAGCAUGCACUUAAAAAUACUACUCUUUUCUUUCCUACAGCAAAUUCGAACUUCCAGGUAUCAUAUUAAGUUUCUGAGUUGUACCAUUUCUUUCUGCACCAAGAUCUUUCCUGCAUGUGAGCCAUUUCCCUGCAGGACCUAAUCCCCCACCCGUGCAGUCUUAUCACUGUGACAACAUGGCGUGCCCCGAAGUUAACAUUUGGAUAACAGAUGUGUGUGCCCAUUUCUAUUUCCUUUCUUAGUGACAGGAAAUCUCGCUGGCGAUUUCUCACAUCUCACGGGUGAUGCUGAGCGAACGCCGGCUUCCUCAUUCCGUUCUCCUCUCAGGCAUGGACGUGCCCCCUGUCACGUUUUGCUAACCGAAUGCAUGGUGAAGAGCUGGGAACGUGGGCUUGAUGGCAGUGGAUAUUGCCUGCUGUUGGGUGUGUCGAGUCAGCUAUGUGUGCUGCGAUGCUGAGAUGGAGGCUCAGGGAAGCUGUGUGUGUGUGUGUGUGUGUGUGUGUGUGUGUGUGUGUGUGUGUGUGUGUGUGUGUGUAGAGCAUCACGAGAACUUUCCAUACACGCCGACACUUAUUUCAAUGUGAGGGGACACUGUGAGGCACAUCUGUCUCUGAAAUACUCUUACUAUCACUCAGUGGUGGUUUACACACAUAUAGCUACAGCAUUCAUGGAUAAAGCUAAGCUUUACAGCAUUCUGCAGAUUUUAUAACGAAGCAGGCCACAGUAAAUCUCCAGCUAAUAAACAAGGGAUUCUUCUGUAACUGCAACAGAGAAUUAACAGCGACUGUAACAUAAGCUCACCUGACCUGAUCGUCAGCCUGUUUUAAUGCAAUGGAAAUGUCACUGAUACAUUAUGCAUGUGUUUAUAUUAUUUAUUAUUAGGUUUUAAAACCUAUAUUUUAGGUAUGGAUACAUCAUUUGUACGGGACACAAUAUGGGAAGGUGUCAUAGCAUGGGAGAUUCCACAGUUGGGGUGCCACUCGUGUCCAGCUGAUAUAUAAAUAUGCAUGUAAGGUAAAGUUGUUUUUCAGAAAAAUCCUCCAGGUCCUGCACAUUAUUUGGUUUUCCAGCAUCUUCGGCAUAUUUGACCCCUUUCCAACAGCGGCUAUAUGAUGCUGAGAUCCGUCUUUUCACAACGAGGACAGUUGAGAGACUCGUACAUAAUUAUUACAAAAGGACGAAAAAGACAGUAUGUCAUGCUGCAGAUGAACCGGAAACUGGAGACUCCAUCUAUAAAUGUUACAUAAACGGCUCCUUACAGAAAACUGUGGUAUAAAAGAAUGCUGAAUGCAGAUGUGUGUAUAUAUGUGUGUGUGUGUGUGUGUGUGUGGGUAUGUGUGUGUGUGUAUGUGCAGGUGGUGUAAAUGAUGCGCUUGGUGUUUAGCACUCUAUACACACCACAGAAACAUUCUUCUCCCUCACCCUCUCCUCUCGCUGCUUCCAGCCAUGUACAGAUGGGUCUUUGACAGGUCUACAGCUGUUCCCCUAAUUGUUCAUUAAGUGUUCUAUUGA
This is a long non-coding RNA of Ictalurus furcatus (blue catfish), 1616 nucleotides long. RefSeq lists it as uncharacterized. The record is from RefSeq and is a predicted model, not a curated record. The transcript is spliced from 3 exons. NCBI's taxonomy places the organism in Eukaryota, Metazoa, Chordata, Actinopteri, Siluriformes, Ictaluridae.